GUUUAUCUCUUUCAAAUUCAGGUGUCUAAGAUUUUCUCCAUAUUUUGCAGAGUUUAAUAAAUCCAUCUCAUUGUACUGUUUCUAUUUCACUUUACAUUAUGGUAACUACAUCAUAAUUGUUCUAUAUUCUUCUUUUGGCUUCUGUAUGCUGUGAUUUUUGCAUCUAUUGGUAUAAUCAAUUGAAGAAGGGUUAAAUUUUUAUUUUUAAUUUAAAUUUUUUUCCUAAUUGAAGGGUGAUGUAUAUCCUGUG
RNAcentral lists this unclassified non-coding RNA (250 nucleotides) under Hevea brasiliensis (rubber tree). Lineage: Eukaryota; Viridiplantae; Streptophyta; Magnoliopsida; Malpighiales; Euphorbiaceae. The record is from RNAcentral.